GGUCUCUAUGGGGGUCUCUCUCUAUGGGGUCUCUAUGGGGUCUCUAUGGGUCUCAAUGGGUCCCUAUGUGUCCAUAUGUGUCCCUAUGGUUCUCUAUGGGUCUCUAUGUGUCUCUAUGGGUCCCUAUGGGUCUCUAUGGGUCUCUAUGGGUCCCUAUGGGUUUCUAUGGGGUCCCUAUGGGUCUCUAUGGGGUCCCUAUGUGUCCCUAUGGUUCUCUAUGUAUGGGGUCUCUAUGGGUCCCUAUAGAUCCCCCAUGUCCCUAUGGGGUCUCCCUAUAGGUCUCAAUGGGUCCCUAUGUGUCCCUAUGGGGUCCCUAUGGGUCUCUAUGGGGUCUCAAUGUCCUUAUGGUGUCUCCAUGUGUCCCUAUGGGUCCCUUUGUGUUCUCUAUGUGUCCCUAUGGGUCCCUAUGUGUCUCUAUGUGUCCCUAUGGGUCUUUAUGGGUCUCUAUGGGUCUCCAUGGGUCCCUAUGGGGUAUCUAUGGGUCCCUAUGUGUCCCUAUGGGUCUCUAUGGGUCCCUAUAUGUCUCUAUGAGAUCUCUAUGUGUCCCUAUGUGUCCCUAUGGGCUCCCUAUAGGUCUCAAUGGGUCCCUAUGGGUCUCUAUGGGGUCCUUAUAUGUCCCUAUGGGUCCCUAUGGGAUCUCAGUGUCCCUAUGGGGUCCCUAUUGUUCCCUAUGGGAUCUCAUUGUCCCUAUGGGUCCCUAUAGUUCCCUAUGGGAUCUCAGUGUCCCUAUGGGGUCCCUAUAGUUCCCUAUGGGAUCUCAGUGUCCCUAUGGGAUCUCAUUGUCCCUAUGGGAUCUCAUUGUCCCUAUGGGUCCCUAUAGUUCCCUAUGGGAUCUCAGUGUCCCUAUGGAGUCCCUAUAGUUCCCUAUGGGAUCUCAGUGUCCCUAUGGNGUCCCUAUAGUUCCCUAUGGGAUCUCAGUGUCCCUAUGGAGUCCCUAUAGUUCCCUAUGGGAUCUCAGUGUCCCUAUGGGGUCUCAGUGUCCCUAUGGGUCCCUAUGGGUCUCUAUGGGAUCUCAGUGUCCCUAUGGGGUCUCAUUGUCCCUAUGGGUCUCUAUGUGUCCCUAUGGGAUCUCAGUGUCCCUAUGUGUCCCUAUGGGGUCCCUAUAGUUCCCUAUGGGAUCUCAGUGUCCCUAUGGGUCCCUAUGUGUCUCUAUGUUGUCUCUAUGGGUCCCUAUGAGUCCCUAUGGGGUCUCAGUGUCUCUAUGUGUCCCUAUGGGGUCUCAUUUUCUCUGUGGGUCCCUAUAGUUCCCUAUGGGGUCUCAUUGUCUCUAUGGGUCCCUAUAGUUCCCUAUGGGAUCUCAGUGUCCCUAUGGGGUCUCUAUGUGUCCCUAUGGGUCUCAAUGUGUCCCUAUGAGGUCUCAUUGUCCCUAUGGGGUCCCUAUAGUUCCCUAUGGGUCCCUAUGGGGUCUCAGUGUCCCUAUGUGUCCCUAUGGGGUCUCAUUGUCUCUAUGGGUCCCUAUAGUUCCCUAUGGGAUCUCAGUGUCCCUAUGGGGUCCCUAUGUGUCCCUAUGGGGUCUCAUUGUCUCUAUGGGGUCCCUAUAGUUCCCUAUGGGNNNNNNNNNNNNNNNNNNNNNNNNNCCCAAAUCAGCCCUAAAAUGGCCCCAAAUGGCCCCAAAAUGGACCCAAAUCACCCCAAAAUGGACCUAAUAGGACCCAAAAUGGCCCCAAAUGGCACCAAAAUGGACCUAAAUGGCCCUAAAAGGACCCAAAAUGACCCUAAAUGGACCUAAAUGGCCCUAAAUUGCCCCUAAAUGGCCCUAGAAGGACCCAAAAUGACCAUAAAUGGCCCCAAAAUGGCCCUAAAUCACCCCAAAAUGGCCCAAAAUGACCCUAAAUGGACCUAAAUUACUCUAAAUGGACCUAAAUGGCCCUAAAUUGCCCCUAAGUGGCCCUAAAUGACCCUAAAUGGACACAAAAUGACCCUAAAUCGCCCCAAAAUGGCCCGAAAUGACCCUAAAUUGACCUAAAUGGACCUACAUUGCCCCUAAAUGGCCCUAGAAGGACCCAAAAUGGCCUUAAAUGGCCCCAAAAUGGCCCUAAAUGGCCACAAAAGGCAUCAAAUGGCCCCAAAAUGGACCUAAAUGGAUCCAAAUCACCCCAAAAUGGACCCAAAUGACCCUAAAUGGACCUAAAUGGCCCUAAAUUGCCCCUAAAUGGCCCUAAAUGACCCUAAAUGGCCCUAAAUGACCCUGAAUGGCCCUAAAUGGCCCUAAAUUGCCCCUAAAAGGACCCAAAAUGGCCAUAAAUCGACCCAAAAUGGCCCCAAAUGGCCCUAAAUCACCCCAAAAUGGCCCGAAAUGACCCUAAAUGGACCUAAAUGGCCCCAAAAUGGCCAUAAAUUGACCCAAAAUGGCCCCUAAAUGGCCCCCAAUCUCGCGAGACUACACCCCAAAUCUCGCGAGACUUCCCCCCAGUGCUCCCCACCCCAUAAUCUCACCAGACCUCCCUGCAAAUCUCGCGAGAC
RNAcentral lists this long non-coding RNA (2463 nucleotides) under Coturnix japonica (Japanese quail). Its description in RNAcentral is "lncRNA (ENSCJPG00005002341.1)". The record is from RNAcentral. Lineage: Eukaryota; Metazoa; Chordata; Aves; Galliformes; Phasianidae.